Molecule: long non-coding RNA, 1666 nt
Organism: Camelus dromedarius (Arabian camel)
Lineage: Eukaryota; Metazoa; Chordata; Mammalia; Artiodactyla; Camelidae
Exons: 3
Source: RefSeq, a predicted model, not a curated record
CCACCCCCACACCGCUUCUCUUUGUCUUCGUAGUCGUUGGGUUGAUUUCCACCAGCUGUGGAUUAACCCACUCCCCUGGACUCCUAAUUACCCACUUCUCCCGUCUUCCAGACCAGGCCUCUCAGGGUUCUCGUUCGAGGGCAAGAGCUGGAUGCCCUGUCCUGGGCAGGAUGUCGCAGCUGUGUCGCCAGCAUCUGCAGACAGACCCAUGGACGUUUUCAUCCUUGUGGUUUCAUCGCACAAAAGGUUCUCACUCAAAUGGUGAAAAGCACGUGAUUUAAAAUCGAACAGAACUUUCUGGAGAGGACGAUGAAGAAGAUCAGAGUGGGGACUAUUCAAGAGGAGACUGAAAAUUUAUUAAUUCAAUUAAAAUGGGAUUUAUAAAUAUACUACGCUCAGGUGGCAUGACGUGUGAACAGACGAAAGAUUAAAAUCACCGAGGAAAUCGCUCCGUCUGAGCCCAGAUCACGACGCCUUUCAGUGACCCAGCGACCCAAAUGCUAUCUGUCAACUUGUCCUUCCAGAGACUUUUCACCCCAUGCUCUGCGGCUGCUACUCCAGGAAAAAAAAAAAAAAAAAAAAAAAAAAAGUAAGAAAGGAAAAAAAAACAAAAAUCAGGAGUUGGAAGGAGGGGGAAGAGGGGAGGAGAGAGGGAGGAAGCAGGGAUAAAAUACUGCCUUAUUACUAAGGACUCUGCAAUGCAGGUCAACUGCAGGGCGCGUGAGCCUUUUUAACAAACUAAAUACUUUUUCCAGACCCUCACUCCCAGUGUUUCCUCACUGUCUCCUCAAACUCUCAGCUCCCUUGGGAAAUGUCAUGCCAAGUCGUAGGACCUGGUCCCACAACAGAACUCCGGUCCUAGAGAGUCCCCUGAGGAUGGAGAUUUUCCUAAUUUUCAAAAAUCUUUCCACAAAACCUGUUUGGCCUUUGCUUGGGUUCUUGAUGAGUUUGAAGGGUCACCAGGUUUGCAUUGGCCUCCAGGUAUAGCCAGAGUUAGGUUACUUAUGUCAGGGUGAGAGGCAGGGAUUGGGUGAGAUGAGAGGAGGGGGUAGAAACAAACACCCUGCAGACAUUUCACAGGGUUGGGCUCUCAUAUUAAGAGCCUGCCUGUUAAGAGCCUGGGUUGGACACUUUGAAUGCCCCAGCAAAAGACAGAUAAGGCUGCCCGUUCCUUAAAGGCACUAGAUUGAAUCAUAUGAAGUUACAUUUUUCUUUUUCAGGUCAAAACCAAUCAAAUAUUGGCAAUUCCACGUGGUUCAAACUAUUUCACAAUCUAAAUAGCACCUCACCAUAGUAAGUUUGGUAAAUAUCAAACAUUAUCUUCUUUCAAAGAAAUGGUUCUAUGCUCUGCUAUGCUAGCAUCUUGAGCACAUUCUUUGUCUGCCCAGGGAGCCAGUCAGCACUUGGUGGUGGUGGUGGGGAGUGGGUGGUGGUCAAAUUCUGCGUUAAAAUAUAGCAGAAAAUAGAAGCUCCUUUGCAUACCUUUAAACAGACCUCUAAUGUGUUUUUCUGAAAGACUUCAACAUGUGAUAUUUCAAAUUAUACAACUUUAAGGAGACAUUGUAUGAAAAUUCAGGACUCUGUUAAACUUUCAGACACUUAGAAACUUGCAUAGAAAUAAAUGUUUGCAUGCUCUUUCACUUGGUGUCUUUUUCUGUUCCAGGAU